Long non-coding RNA from Brassica napus (rape), 1908 nucleotides. RefSeq lists it as uncharacterized. The record is from RefSeq and is a predicted model, not a curated record. Lineage: Eukaryota; Viridiplantae; Streptophyta; Magnoliopsida; Brassicales; Brassicaceae. The transcript has 4 exons.
AAUCCUAUUGGUUGGUGAACCUAGAGGUUCACCCUAGGGGGUGAACCCAAGAAUAACUCAAUAAAAUUUAAGAGCUUUAACCUUUGCUGUCGAAACGGUUAGUCAAAUCCGAGACUAUCUGCUCCCAAACGCCACAGAUUCACGUGACAAAGCCGUUUUCAUGGCUUGUGAGCAGGUCCGGCCCUGUAAAAAAAUAUUUUAAAAAGGCUGGAAGCACACAGGAAAAAAAGGCUUGCACGGACACUGGAACUUGAUACCUUUUAGUAGAAUAACAGAUACUUAACCAUCUGACCUACUGAUAACCCUUAUACAAAUGGCCGAAAUUUUCUCUUGUUAUUAAUGGCCGGAAGCAGAUGUUCUACCGCUUCUACCCAGGGCCACUACUGCUUGUGAGAUCGCCUACAAGGCCGUGGUUUCUCGGCUUGAGAGUGCAGAUCAAUCCAUGUCGAGAGGUGAUUACGUGACGUUGGAGGCACAGCAGAAUCAAGCACUUGGUUAUGUUAAAGUGAGUAUUAGGAGGACUAACUUCUUUCGCCGGACACCAUAUUGAUGAUCAAUAUUGCCUCCAUCGCAGCUCAGAUACUUGCUCCUCCAUAAUUAAGAACACAACUUUUUCAUGUUUUUCAUGCCAAACUUCAUGCCGUUUUCAUAAAAAAAACUUCAUUCCGAUAUGUAACUGCCACUUCUGGUAAACCAUCGUUAUCUCUCUCUAAAGUUAUUUAUCCAUGCAUUUACCACAAAGUUAUCUGCUUUCAGGUUUGUUGAUUUUGUGUUUAAUUUGUUAAAAUAUGUUAUUUGGGUUAUGUGUGGCUUAAAGAAUCAAUAAUUUGACUUUACAUUUUUGAAAUAUUCUUGUUUCUUGAAGACGACCAUUCCAGUGUUGUCCAUGUGGUAAUCAUAACAUAUGCUUAUAAAACAACUCUCUUGUUUGAAGGUUUGGCGAAACAUACGCGCUGUGUGGGGAUCGAUGCUGCAGUUCCACCUUCAAAGAAGCCGGAUUCAAGGGAGUUGCUCGACCAAGCAUUGAAAGAGAAACAAAACUGUUGAGACAUAAGAUUUUGCUAAACAUCAAAUAUAUAGAGUCAAGAGCCUUCUGACAAAUGAGCAGUUUCUUGCGGUGCAGGAAAAUAAAAUCUUUAGUAUAUGAGAUGUGUUAUGCAAGACCUGUGAUGUGGCAUGGCUUGGUUGACUUGUUUAUUAAUCAAAAUGUAAACUGAACCCUGCAAGUUUUUUUCUUAAAGAGUAGGAUCUCUCUUAAGACAUCUCGAUUCGGUGCAUAAAGAAGCCAAGCCGUGUUGUGAUCCUAGACGACGUCGCAUUGGUGUCUCGAUUGAUCAUGGAGCGUCCUGGGAAAAAAGUUUUGUAUGAGAUACGUCAUCAUGCUUCAUUUCCCUAUGAUCCUAGAAACCCUCCUCUUCCUCAGCCAGCAUAUCAAGAUCAUUUACUUCUGGAAUAUGGUCCGAGAAUCAUUAUGUUCUUGGUCUUGUGGAUGGUAGCGAGACCCUAUUUUUCAUCAAAGCUAAUGGUGAAGAAAUAAGUCAAAGUCACAAAACGAAAUUUGAAUGUUUCUUCAUUAGUAUUAGGACUCAUGCAAGAUGGUGAUGGUUUGCAAACAUCAUGCUUGUAGCUGAUGGCUCUAGCUGGCUCACGAACACUCUUUGUCGCACUUAAAUCAUCUCAGAUCGCUGCGGCGUCCAUUUCUCCAGAGGAUCUAUCGAGUGUUGAAACAUCCGUUUCCUGCUUUUAUAAACUCUCUGCUUCUGCUACUUUCUAGUUGUACAAAGAGUAGAUGAAUUUACAGAACCGAGGAUUAUGAGAAAAUGAGGAAGUUUCGAAAACUGCUGAUAUUCCGUAUUUUUAACGGUUUUAAACUCGUUUUGGAGCAAUUAAAUGGUCGGUUUUAAUUAA